AUACGAAGGGGGCUAGCGUUGUUCGGAAUUACUGGGCGUAAAGCGCACGUAGGCGGACAUUUAAGUCAGGGGUGAAAUCCCGGGGCUCAACCCCGGAACCGCCUUUGAUACUGGGUGUCUUGAGUGUGGAAGAGGUGAGUGGAAUUCCGAGUGUAGAGGUGAAAUUCGUAGAUAUUCGGAGGAACACCAGUGGCGAAGGCGGCUCACUGGUCCACAACUGACGCUGAGGUGCGAAAGCGUGGGGAGCAAACAG
RNAcentral lists this ribosomal RNA (253 nucleotides) under uncultured prokaryote. RNAcentral describes it as "partial 16S ribosomal RNA". It matches the Rfam family "Bacterial small subunit ribosomal RNA", at positions 523 to 775 of the family's 1533-position model. The record is from RNAcentral.